AUUGGGCAAGUUGGAUAAGUUAUUGGAGGGCAAGUUGGACAAGGACCACCGCCUCCAGGUGGAGCACCACCACCUCCGAUUGGUGGAACAAUACCACCUCCAAUAGGUGGAACAAUACCACCUCCAACAGGUGGAGUAUAAGGUGGAUACGUAGGAGAAGGUGGUGGCAUUAUCACUGGAGGGUUUAUAACUGGAGGAGGAAUAAUCACUGGAGGGUUCACAACUGGUGGAGGUAGGAUUACUGGAGGGUUAACAACGGGUGGAGGUAAGAUCACUGGAGGGUUCACAACAGGAGGAGGAUAAACUAUCGGAGGACGGACAACUGGUGAUUUUGGUGGAGGAUGAACUAUUGGAGGACGAACAACUGGUGAUUUUGGCGGAGGAUG
RNAcentral lists this long non-coding RNA (386 nucleotides) under Aquilegia coerulea. RNAcentral's name for it is "long non-coding RNA (ACOE_LNC001118)". The record is from RNAcentral. Lineage: Eukaryota; Viridiplantae; Streptophyta; Magnoliopsida; Ranunculales; Ranunculaceae.